UUACUCGCUUUGUAGGUACGUAUACUAAAAUUGGAACGAGACAGAGAAAAUUAGCAUGACCCUGGCGCAAAUAUGACACGCAAAAUUGUAAAGUGUUCCAUAUUUUU
Molecule: small nuclear RNA, 107 nt
Filed under: Schistocephalus solidus
Lineage: Eukaryota; Metazoa; Platyhelminthes; Cestoda; Diphyllobothriidea; Diphyllobothriidae
Source: RNAcentral